GGCAACAACAGAGGUAUUGAACAUUGGGAAAAAAGUGUAUGAGGGUAAAACAACACAUGUCUAUGAAUUAUAGAUAGUCCAGGACAAGUCCUCCUACAGUCCAAGGACCAGAUUAUAGCUGGAAAUGCAGAAGGAUGAUGCCAAUAAUGACCCACGGUGGCCUGAAGAAUAGCUAAUUGUUGCAAAAUUUUGCUUCUUUGGAUUUGCUAUAGGCCAUACAGAAGUGGAUAUCAUGAAUCAUGCUACACAGGCUAUUUUUUAAAUACUGGAGAAAUCCUGGUUGCCCCAGAACUCUACACUGGUUGGAAUGAAGACUACAUUUGGUGUUGAUGUAACCAUCCAGUAAAUUGUUCUUGCUGGUAUUAUUGAUAAUGAUUUUUGGGGACUCUGGCCAUCAGGGGAUUGAAGCCAACAGAAAGACAAACUGUUGUAUUGCAUCCUCAAAGAAGUAAAUUUUCAAGGGCUCCAAAUGGUAAAAAAAAAAAAAAUUUGAGUGGGUUGCAGAGAGAAUUGUCACUUUAAAAAAAUCAGAAGGCCUAUGGAAAUUUUGGAAUUCCAUGUGAACUUUGAGCAACAUCCGCACAUAAUGGACGAGAUGAAACUCUGAAGAGUAAAGCUGAAUAUAAAGGGAAUAGCAUUUGUACUGUAUUUGUGGCAGUGGCAAGUGGAAAAAAUGGUUUGGGACCAGUAAUGUAUGGCAGCUCUACAUAUCCAGUCAUUAGCUGUGUUCUUCUUAAACUAGUCUGGAGAACUUAGGAUGUGUGAUCUUCUCUUCAACUACCCAGUGGUCCCAGUGGUCUUGCCUGUUAAACCAUAUUUUCUCCAGAAGGAUCAGCUCAUAUUGCUGCUCAGAUAUUUGGAAUAAAUAAGCAUUAGACAUGGGGAGAACUGCAAGGAAUCAUUUUGAACACAUGGAUUCUCUUGAAGCAGGCCCACAAGAAAAUUAGAGAAUGUAAUUUAUA
Molecule: long non-coding RNA, 962 nt
Filed under: Homo sapiens (human)
Lineage: Eukaryota; Metazoa; Chordata; Mammalia; Primates; Hominidae
Description: non-protein coding lnc-NAP1L3-5:1
Source: RNAcentral